RNAcentral lists this non-coding RNA (182 nucleotides) under Actinomycetota bacterium. Its description in RNAcentral is "Actinobacteria bacterium (aquatic metagenome) 6S RNA". It matches the Rfam family "6S / SsrS RNA". From Rfam's summary of the family: E. coli 6S RNA was the first non coding RNA to be sequenced, but its function was unknown until recently. It consists of 184 nucleotides that fold into an extended hairpin structure with a large single-stranded internal bulge. Lineage: Bacteria; Bacillati; Actinomycetota. The record is from RNAcentral.
GAGGCUCUGCCUUGUUCGUGUUUGCCACUACUAAUUUGAGCCAACACAUCUACCUUGGGAGCCCGGCUCUACUUGUGGCUUGAAUGCCCUUAUAUAGGGACUCAUAAAGCAAGUAGGAGGAGCACCCACUUGCGGAGCGCAGGGUUCAAUCUAGUAUUCAGGCACGGCAAGGCGGAGUUUCU